AAACUGUCUGGUUGCAGGCUUGUGUUGUGCUGUGUGCCUUCUUUCACAUUCUCAAGUGUGUCUUCUCUGCCAGGGGCCCUUGGGCAUGCCACUGCCCCUUCACCUAACUGGCAGUCUGUUUUGUUUUAAUCUCAGUAAUACAUUCACAAGAAAGUGAGCCCCAAUCUUGAACACUUGAUCAGGACCCACCCCCACUCACCUUUGUGCUCUAUUCUCCUACUUCACACAACACAAUAUAAAAUUAUAUGCUUAGAUGUAAUUUAUUUUCUUCCUCCAUCAACUUAUAAUGUAUUGACAUGGAUGCCAUUUUCCCCAGUAACUUCUUUCCCUUCUGAGUUUCCAGGUUUGAGCUCUGCCUAAAACUUUCCUUGCAUUAGUUCUGAUAUUGGACUGUGUAACACUAAGAAUUUCUUGUAAAAAUUUCUCAGUUCCUUUUUUAAGGCUAGUCCAGGUACCUCUUGUUCACGCAGGUUUCCAUUAACAUUUUACAUUUCCUUUGUUUCACAUUUUAAAAACCUGCAUUCAACAUUCAAGUCUCUCAAGACCUUAUCUUCCCAUGACGCAUACAACAUCUCAACGUAUGAGAAGAUGCCUCUAGCCUGUAUCCAAUAGCAACAGGGGACCAUAGUGGACUCAAACAAGCACAGGAAUGUUCUCAAAGCGCAAGGUGGGACGGCUUCCACCACGGCCUCUGAACAACUCCUCAUAAGCCUCUAGGCCUGCAUUUAUUGAGUUUAUAUUGAUCAAAUUUAAGGACUUUUUAUCAUCCAGUAAGACAAACACACACAGAAGCACUUCCCUGGAUCAAUGAAGUGUCAGAAAUAGUUGACGGACUGUUCCGGACCAACAUCUUCAGGACUGUGAACGGAGCCAGCGUAUAAUCCCGGGUCCGAUUCUGAGUGGAGGUGUGUGGACUAGGGACGCUAAUGAUGAGACAGGAAACACCAUAUCAUCUCAGGAGGGCUCCGAGCUGAUUCGAGCAGCCACAGUUUAUUGAGAAGUCCAUUUAAAUAGUCUUCCAAGGGCAGGGACAACAUCAGGAAGCAUUUAUCAUAAUGCAUAUCACUAACAUCAAGUGAUUCUGUUACCUAAACAACUCUUGGUCAUGCAGGCAGAGUCUUCAGCCCAGGUAUGGGUCUACUCAAGGCUUAAGCUGCAGAGAUGCAAAUUAGGAGGCAUGUCACCUUAGGCCAUGGUGAACAGUAACAGCCUAGUGUUAAUUAACAAUACAAUGGUGGCCUGGAGCUCCCUGGCACCACCACCUCUGCUUAUAGCAGCCAGAGCCUGGGACCCAAAAUAUUCCAUAACAGGGAUAUUCGGUCCCCCACAAUGGACAUAUAUCAAAACUCCUGAAUUCACCUAGUCAGUUAGCAAUUAAUCUGAAUUUAACACAAUUCAAUUUUGAGCAUGAAUUUUGAAUGAAGGUUCAUGAGCAUGUAUAUUGAUAUAAACAUGUUUCUUUUUGCUUUUAUAAUAAUGUGUAU
This 1484-nucleotide long non-coding RNA is filed under the name Cricetulus griseus (Chinese hamster). RNAcentral's name for it is "lncRNA (ENSCGRG00015042991.1)". The record is from RNAcentral. Lineage: Eukaryota; Metazoa; Chordata; Mammalia; Rodentia; Cricetidae.